UUAUGGUAGAAAAGAUUGAUCGAGAUAGGGGUCAUGACAGUAUUGGGCUCAGGACUGUCAAAGGGACCAGGAAGGUACACAGCGUCAAAGGAGCUACCUGCAUCGGGAAAGUAAAGAUAUGAGACCAAUCCUGUUUCUGCAGUUCAUGUUUUAGUGGAGACCAUUCAUCUUGCCACAACAAGGAUUAUGUCGAGGACUAGAAGGAAGUGGAUCUGUUAACCAGGCCAAAGACUUGCUAACAGACAGAAAAAGAGACCAGUCUACAACCAGCGACACAUACUCACCAUAAACCAGAACAGGACCAGAUGAACACUGACAACAGUGAAUACAUGAAUCUUCAAGAUAGUUAGACCAGCACCAUUGUUGGGGAUGAUGAACCAGCAGAGGGCCAGGAUUUCACAGACAGCAGCGAGCACUGUGGUCAGAAG
This is a long non-coding RNA of Acanthaster planci (crown-of-thorns starfish), 428 nucleotides long. Lineage: Eukaryota; Metazoa; Echinodermata; Asteroidea; Valvatida; Acanthasteridae. The record is from RefSeq and is a predicted model, not a curated record.